UCAGACGAUGCGUCAUGCAUAUCAAUAAGCGGAGGAAAAGAAACUAACAAGGAUUCCCCUAGUAACGGCGAGUGAAGCGGGAAGAGCUCAAAUUUGAAAUCUUAAAGGGUUUCCCUUUACGAAUUGUAGUUUAAAGAAGUGUUUUCUGUUGAGGUUUUGGUAAAAGUUCUUUGGAAUAGGACAUCAUAGAGGGUGAGAAUCCCGUAUUUGACCUUUACUUUCAACUUUGUGAUACACUUUCAAAGAGUCGGAUUGUUUGGGAAUGCAGUCCAAAAUGGGUGGUAAAUUUCAUCUAAAGCUAAAUAUUGGCGAGAGACCGAUAGCGAACAAGUUACCGUGAGGGAAAGAUGAAAAGAACUUUGAAAAGAGAGUUAAACAGUACGUGAAAUUGUCAAAAGGGAAGCGUUUGACACCAGUGUUGUUUUUCUGAAAAUCAAUUAAAGAACUGUUUAUCGCUAAGCUGUUUAGACUUUAUCAGCUAAUCUGUUUAGUUUUAGGCUUUUCUUUAAUGCACUUUUCAGUUAACAAGUCAACAUCAAUUUCUUUUGCUGUAAAAAAGCUUGAGGAAGGUGGCUUGAGAUUCGUCUUAAGUGUUUAUAGCCUCUUGCCUAUGCAGUCGGAGAGAUUGAGGUCUGCAGCGUAGAUCCUUCGGGGCUAAAUGCAUUUGUGCUAAGUUAUAGCAUUUAUAGACAACUUGUUGACUAUGAUUUGUCUUGUAGCUUACUCGCUUAUGUUAUUUUACCUACGCUUAGGAUGUUGACACACGCGCGUGCUCG
Molecule: ribosomal RNA, 776 nt
Filed under: uncultured Neocallimastigales
Lineage: Eukaryota; Fungi; Neocallimastigomycota; Neocallimastigomycetes; Neocallimastigales
Description: partial large subunit ribosomal RNA
Rfam family: Eukaryotic large subunit ribosomal RNA
Source: RNAcentral